Molecule: ribosomal RNA, 239 nt
Filed under: uncultured bacterium
Lineage: Bacteria
Description: partial 16S ribosomal RNA
Rfam family: Bacterial small subunit ribosomal RNA
Source: RNAcentral
UGAGGAACAUGACUUUCGGCGGGGGAUAGCCGGCCCAACGGCCGGGUAAUACCGCGUACGACCUUUUGGGGACAUCCCCGAUUGGUGAAAGCAGCAAUGCGCCGAAAGAGUGCCUCGCGGCCUAUCAGCUAGUUGGUGGGGUAACGCUCACCAAGGCGACGACGGGUAGCUGGUCUGAGAGGAUGGCCAGCCACAGUUGGGACUGAGACCACCGGCCCAGACCUCCGUACGGGGAGCAG